RNAcentral lists this unclassified non-coding RNA (337 nucleotides) under soil metagenome. RNAcentral describes it as "partial contains 5.8S ribosomal RNA, internal transcribed spacer 2, and large subunit ribosomal RNA". The stretch from base 1 to 120 matches the Rfam family "5.8S ribosomal RNA", at positions 35 to 154 of the family's 154-position model. The record is from RNAcentral.
GAUGAAGAAAGCAGUGAAAUGCGAUAAGUAGUGUGAAUUGCAGAAUUCAGUGAAUCAUCGAAUCUUUGAACGCACAUUGCGCCCGCCAGUAUUCUGGCGGGCAUGCCUGUUCGAGCGUCAUUUCAACCAUCAAGCCCCCGGGCUUGUGUUGGGGACCUGCGGCUGCCGCAGGCCCUGAAAAGCAGUGGCGGGCUCGCUGUCACACCGAGCGUAGUAGAUUUUAUCUCGCUCUGGGCGUGCUGCGGGUUCCGGCCGUUAAACCACCCUUUUAACCCAAGGUUGACCUCGGAUCAGGUAGGAAGACCCGCUGAACUUAAGCAUAUCAAUAAGCGGAGGA